CCUACGGGAGGCAGCAGUGGGGAAUAUUGCACAAUGGGGGAAACCCUGAUGCAGCGACGCCGCGUGAGCGAUGAAGUAUUUCGGUAUGUAAAGCUCUAUCAGCAGGGAAGAAAAUGACGGUACCUGCCUAAGAAGCCCCGGCUAACUACGUGCCAGCAGCCGCGGUAAUACGUAGGGGGCAAGCGUUAUCCGGAUUUACUGGGUGUAAAGGGAGCGCAGACGGCAGCGCAAGUCUGGAGUGAAAUCCCAGGGCUUAACCAUGGAACUGCUUUGGAAACUGUGCAGCGAGAGUGCAGGAGAGGUAAGCGGAAUUCCUAGGGUAGCGGUGAAAGGCGUAGAUAUUAGGAGGAACACCAGUGGCGAAGGCGGCUUACUGGACUGUAACUGACGUUGAGGCUCGAAAGCGUGGGGAGCAAACAGGAUUAGAUACCCGAGUAGUC
Molecule: ribosomal RNA, 440 nt
Filed under: uncultured bacterium
Lineage: Bacteria
Description: partial 16S ribosomal RNA
Rfam family: Bacterial small subunit ribosomal RNA
Source: RNAcentral